GAUGAACGCUGGCGGCGUGCCUAAUACAUGCAAGUUGAGCGAAUGGAUUAAGAGCUUGCUCUUAUGAAGUUAGCGGCGGACGGGUGAGUAACACGUGGGUAACCUGCCCAUAAGACUGGGAUAACUCCGGGAAACCGGGGCUAAUACCGGAUAACAUUUUGAACCGCAUGAUUCGAAAUUGAAAGGCGGCUGCGGCUGUCACUUAUGGAUGGACCCGCGUCGCAUUAGCUAGUUGGUGAGGUAACGGCUCACCAAGGCAACGAUGCGAAGCCGACCUGAGAGGGUGAUCGGCCACACUGGGACUGAGACACGGCCCAGACUCCUACGGGAGGCAGCAGUAGGGAAUCUUCCGCAAUGGACGAAAGUCUGACGGAGCAACGCCGCGUGAGUGAUGAAGGCUUUCGGGUCGUAAAACUCUGUUGUUAGGGAAGAACAAGUGCUAGUUGAAUAAGCUGGCACCUUGACGGUACCUAACCAGAAAGCCACGGCUAACUACGUGCCAGCCGCCGCGGUAA
RNAcentral lists this ribosomal RNA (515 nucleotides) under uncultured bacterium. RNAcentral's name for it is "partial 16S ribosomal RNA". It matches the Rfam family "Bacterial small subunit ribosomal RNA", at positions 28 to 523 of the family's 1533-position model. The record is from RNAcentral.